UCUGUCCUUAGAAGUGUUACAGGUGUGGCUGCCAUGUCACAUAUGCGUCCUUAGAUGGCAGAUAGGAAGGAGGCUAUGUCUGUGAUUAGUUUUCUGGCCUCCGAAUAUCUAAUUGAUUAGUAGCCUAAAAUU
This is a small nucleolar RNA of Grammomys surdaster, 132 nucleotides long. RefSeq annotates it as small nucleolar RNA SNORA17. Lineage: Eukaryota; Metazoa; Chordata; Mammalia; Rodentia; Muridae. The transcript has a single exon. The record is from RefSeq and is a predicted model, not a curated record.